Coturnix japonica (Japanese quail) is the source of this 2952-nucleotide non-coding RNA. NCBI's taxonomy places the organism in Eukaryota, Metazoa, Chordata, Aves, Galliformes, Phasianidae. The record is from RefSeq and is a predicted model, not a curated record.
CAUAACGCUGGGCGAUAUACAGGGUACCGGGCAAAGGCUCCAGCGCGCCCCCUCGACCUGAAUAGCGCAGCGAGCCGCCGCGACAGCUCGUCAUAACCCGGAGCGUUAUACAGCUUGCGGGGCUCCUCGCACGCCGGCCCCGGAAACAGGCUGUUUCAUAAGGCGGCCGUAAGCAACCCACAUAACCGUAAUGGCAAUGCCGAGCGACAGCGCGAGUCCCGGCGGCCCAGGAUCGAGCAUAAAGCAUAACGCGCCCCGCGAGCCCCCUGCAUAACGCCGGGCCGUAUGCGGGGUGCGGGGCUUCAACUCGGCGCAGCCCCGGGCCGGGCAUAGGGGCGUGAGGGGCGGGCGGCCCGCAUCGCAUCGGUGCCCAGCCAGGGGGCACGGGGGGCGGCUGCGGCCUCACAGAGGGGGAGAGAACGGGAAGGGGAAGGGGCUGCUAUGAGGAGGGGCUGGAACCAGCCUUCGGAACCGCCUCGUCCUCCCCACAGCCCGGGUGCGGGCCCAAAGGCUGUGAGCAGGCCCGGCCCACCCGCAGGCUCCUCCAACACAUCGGACCCACUGUGUACUACCACACAUUGCAGGGGAAUGCAGUGAAUCCCAAGUAUCUGACAGCAGAGCAGUGUGGAAGAAGAGGCAGGAGAGCCCUUCCCAAGUACCUGUAGACAGCCGUGCUUAAGUUAAGUACUAUUCAGUUACUUGAAACAGAGCCAUCAGCCCCAGAACACACAGUACACACUAAGAUGUGCAUAGGUAUUGCUGAGCAAGGAGAAAGCACUCCUGCUUGUGUGUGCACUCACAGCUUAGCUGGGACAUCAGGCUUCAGCCCUUUGUUAGUCACACUCAGAGGUUACUGUAGCCCUGCCAUUGGGAGCUGUGCUCUUUGCAGGCCAUCCUGUGCUGCCUGGUACCACUGUGGGUCAGGAGUCAAGUGUGGAGCCACAGGAGGUUCUCCCUAUGAAGCUGUGCUCCCUUCAAACAGCACUGGUCCAGUUCUGUUCUGUGGUUAAUUCUCAACACUGGGCCAUUGGCCUCCAGGGUGGGACAUGGACAGCACGUGCAGAUUGACAUGGGCAGCACAUGGAGAUUACAAGAGAAAACAGUGCAGCCCAUCAGUAUCUUUCUUCAAGGCUCCACUUGUGCUCCACUUUCUCAGCAGCACUGCCACAGCUGCUGGGUCAAGGACCCUUCUGUGCAAUAGAAAUGCAUUGUCUGUUGGGUGCCUGCUUGGAUACCAACAGACAGCAGUAUCUGAAACCCACAGUCAAAAGAAAUGCAGGCACAGUUCCACUCCAGUGACCAGCUCUGGAAAAUAACCAGUGUGACACCUGCACCUCUCUAAUGUGCUACUUGCUGCCUGUGGCUGCUUCUUGUGCUGCCUAUCCAAAGCAUCCCAAAGACCACGCAAGGCUUCUUCCUGCCACAGAGUGCUGGGGGAGUUGAGGCUGCUGCAGACAGUAAUGCUAUAACUGCUACAAGUACAGCAUCACCAGAGCUGUGUGAGGUGGGGCAGCCAGGCUGGAGGGCUGAGGGUCACCAAGGAGCUUAAGACAGGGCCCAGGGGAUCAAAAGAGCACCUGAGAACAGCCUGUCUGGUGUUAAAUAUACUCAGAAACAAGAGAAAGUAUUUGUAUAGUCAGUUUGAAAUGGCCAGUCUCUGCAUUUCUGCAGUGCUGUAGCUUGUUGCAUACAAGUUAUCAUUAACAUUGAGCAUGGAAACAAUGAUUAAGCAGCACUACUGACCAAAGCCAGCUUUAAUGCUGCCCCACAUGUUAAAGGAGGGGCAGAGGAAAGGAAUUUCCACCAGCACGUCCUGCUGUGCUACAAUGCCCUUCAGGCAGCUGUGUUAGAGAAGCCAUUCCCCGCUACUGGUGACAUUGCCAGGUCAGAGCCAGGCUCACAUCCCAACCACUGCAAAAAGACCACAACAACUCAACAUCAGCCCCUGGCUUUAUUUGUGUUACAGGCUCGGGGCCGCAGCAGCCAAUACUGUGUUACUGAGGUCGAGUCUUCAAACGUUGUAUCCAAUCAGGCCUCGUUUGCCUAUGAUCUCACCAAUGUAAAACCACAUCAGCACCUCUGUGGCCACCAAACCGUUCCUCAGCGCUUCCUGAAAGAAAAAAAAGCCACAAUUUAGAAUAUUUGCUCCUGCAACAGCUUCCUUUCUUGCUCUUGUCUUCACACAGCAUGCAUGACUAGCAAAGCAGUCAUCCGAUGGGCAAGACAACAGCUUAAGCCAAAACCAGAUGUGCAGGUGAGCAUUCACCAUGUUCAUCCAGCCCUCAACGGGCCACGCUGUUAAAAUGGUUCUAAACCAUUAAAUGCUGCAUUGGCUGAUGUUCUAUUUCAGAAGUGAUCUUAAAGGGCUCUAAAUCCAAACCUGCAGGAAACGAAUUGAAUUUCAGGGCCAAGCGAUGCACCAAACAGGUGACACAGCUUGACUGGGCAAAUCCAUUCCCUCCUCUCUCCACUUGAGCAGUGAGCCCAGAGAACACAGCACAGCUCUGCUAUAGUUGUAGAAGAGCUGAAACAAUGCUGAAACAUUAAAACACCUUCAACUCUUGACCCAUAAAUGCUCUGAGCUUCAAAGGCAGCUGACGGCAGCUCAGUUCUUCAUGGUGUACAAGGAAAGUAUGUCAAGUUACAAUGCUGGUGGUGAAGCUGUGCCUUGAAAAUACCACCCUGAUGCUGAUUUUGCCUGUGGCUCACAGACUGCAACUGCCAGAGCCUGGAGAGACUGCAGGACUCUUCCAUCCUGGGAGGUGAAAGGCAGCAAUAAAGCCUUAAAAACAUGAGAGUGCUGAGGCAAUGGGAUGAAAGAAACACAGGGAAAGGUCCAUGGGUAGAUGGUUGAGAAAAGUUAAUGAUCCAAGGGUUGCAGCAGAAACCAACACUGUGAAAAUAAGCUGACUUCAUAAUGGCUGAAUAAAAUGGUCACAAGGAAUAACACGA